UUUUCGUCUGCACGUGAGAGGAUGAGAAUCUCCGAAGGAGGUUUGAGCCGAACGUAGUGAGACCACGUUGCUUUAGCAACGGCCCGCAGGGCAAGCAUCGAAGAUGCGCAUAAUCCUCUCAUGCCGACCA
This 130-nucleotide small RNA is filed under the name Serratia marcescens. RNAcentral describes it as "RtT sRNA". It matches the Rfam family "RtT RNA". Rfam says of the family: This family represents a bacterial cis-regulatory element known as RtT RNA. The exact function of RtT is unknown although it is thought that it may be involved in changing the cellular response in relation to amino acid starvation. Lineage: Bacteria; Pseudomonadati; Pseudomonadota; Gammaproteobacteria; Enterobacterales; Yersiniaceae. RNAcentral also lists the same sequence under 1 other name. The record is from RNAcentral.